Molecule: ribosomal RNA, 118 nt
Filed under: Pteropus alecto (black flying fox)
Lineage: Eukaryota; Metazoa; Chordata; Mammalia; Chiroptera; Pteropodidae
Source: RNAcentral
AUCUACAGCCAUGCACCCUGAACAAGCCUGAUCCUGUCUGACCUCAUAAGCUAAGCAGGGUCGGGCCUGAUUGGUACUUAGAUGGGAGACCACCAAGGAAGACUAGGUGCUGUAGGCA